RNAcentral lists this ribosomal RNA (440 nucleotides) under uncultured bacterium. Its description in RNAcentral is "partial 16S ribosomal RNA". It matches the Rfam family "Bacterial small subunit ribosomal RNA", at positions 338 to 795 of the family's 1533-position model. The record is from RNAcentral.
CCUACGGGUGGCAGCAGUGGGGAAUAUUGGACAAUGGGGGAAACCCUGAUCCAGCGACGCCGCGUGAGUGAAGAAGUAUUUCGGUACGUAAAGCUCUAUCAGCAGGAAAGAAAAUGACGGUACCUGACUAAUAAGCCCCGGCUAACUACGUGCCAGCAGCCGCGGUAAUACGUAGGGGGCAAGCGUUAUCCGGAUUUACGGGGUGUAAAGGGAGCGUAGACAGGAGAUCAAGUCUGGAGUGAAAUGCAGGGGCGCAACCCCGGAACUGCACAGGAAACGAUGAGGCUGGAGUGCAGGAGAGGUAAGCGGAAUUCCUGGUGUAGCGGUGAAAUGCGUAGAUAGCAGGAGGAACACCAGCGGCGAAGGCGGCUUACUGGACUGUAACUGACGUUGAGGCUCGAAGGCGUGGGGAGCAAACAGGAUUAGAUACCCGGGUAGUC